GACGAACGCUGGCGGCGUGCUUAACACAUGCAAGUCGAACGGAAAGGCCCUGCUUUUGUGGGGUGCUCGAGUGGCGAACGGGUGAGUAACACGUGAGUAACCCGCCCUUGACUUUGGGAUAACUUCAGGAAACUGGGGCUAAUACCGGAUAGGAGCUCCUGCUGCAUGGUGGGGGUUGGAAAGUUUCGGCGGUUGGGGAUGGACUCGCGGCUUAUCAGCUUGUUGGUGGGGUAGUGGCUUACCAAGGCUUUGACGGGUAGCCGGCCUGAGAGGGUGACCGGCCACAUUGGGACUGAGAUACGGAGCAGACUCCUACGGGAGGCAGCAGGCGGGAAUAUGGCACAAUGGGCGGAAGCCUGAUGCAGCGACGCCGCGUGCGGGAUGACGGCCUUCGGGUUGUAAACCGCUUUCGCCUGUGACGAAGCGUGAGUGACGGUAAUGGGUAAAGAAGCACCGGCUAACUACGUG
Molecule: ribosomal RNA, 468 nt
Filed under: uncultured bacterium
Lineage: Bacteria
Description: partial 16S ribosomal RNA
Rfam family: Bacterial small subunit ribosomal RNA
Source: RNAcentral